GGUUAAGCGACUAAGCGUACACGGUGGAUGCCCUGGCAGUCAGAGGCGAUGAAGGGCGUGCUAAUCUGCGAUAAGCGCCGGUAAGGUGAUAUGAACCGUUAUAACCGGCGAUACCCGAAUGGGGAAACCCAGUGUGAUUCGUCACACUAUCAUUAACUGAAUCCAUAGGUUAAUGAGGCGAACCGGGGGAACUGAAACAUCUAAGUACCCCGAGGAAAAGAAAUCAACCGAGAUUCCCCCAGUAGCGGCGAGCGAACGGGGAGGAGCCCAGAGCCUGAAUCAGCAUGUGUGUUAGUGGAAGCGUCUGGAAAGGCGCGCGAUACAGGGUGACAGCCCCGUACACAAAAGCGCAUGUGCUGUGAGCUCGAUGAGUAGGGCGGGACACGUGGUAUCCUGUCUGAAUAUGGGGGGACCAUCCUCCAAGGCUAAAUACUCCUGACUGACCGAUAGUGAACCAGUACCGUGAGGGAAAGGCGAAAAGAACCCCGGCGAGGGGAGUGAAAAAGAACCUGAAACCGUGUACGUACAAGCAGUGGGAGCACCCUUUGGGGUGUGACUGCGUACCUUUUGUAUAAUGGGUCAGCGACUUAUAUUCUGUAGCAAGGUUAACCGUAUAGGGGAGCCGGAGGGAAACCGAGUCUUAAUUGGGCGUUAAGUUGCAGGGUAUAGACCCGAAACCCGGUGAUCUAGCCAUGGGCAGGUUGAAGGUUGGGUAACACUAACUGGAGGACCGAACCGACUAAUGUUGAAAAAUUAGCGGAUGACCUGUGGCUGGGGGUGAAAGGCCAAUCAAACCGGGAGAUAGCUGGUUCUCCCCGAAAGCUAUUUAGGUAGCGCCUCGUGAAUUCAUCUCCGGGGGUAGAGCACUGUUUCGGCUAGGGGGCCAUCCCGGCUUACCAACCCGAUGCAAACUGCGAAUACCGGAGAAUGUUAUCACGGGAGACACACGGCGGGUGCUAACGUCCGUCGUGAAGAGGGAAACAACCCAGACCGCCAGCUAAGGUCCCAAAGUCAUGGUUAAGUGGGAAACGAUGUGGGAAGGCCCAGACAGCCAGGAUGUUGGCUUAGAAGCAGCCAUCAUUUAAAGAAAGCGUAAUAGCUCACUGGUCGAGUCGGCCUGCGCGGAAGAUGUAACGGGGCUAAACCAUGCACCGAAGCUGCGGCAGCGACGCUUAUGCGUUGUUGGGUAGGGGAGCGUUCUGUAAGCCUGUGAAGGUGGCCUGUGAGGGUUGCUGGAGGUAUCAGAAGUGCGAAUGCUGACAUAAGUAACGAUAAAGCGGGUGAAAAGCCCGCUCGCCGGAAGACCAAGGGUUCCUGUCCAACGUUAAUCGGGGCAGGGUGAGUCGACCCCUAAGGCGAGGCCGAAAGGCGUAGUCGAUGGGAAACGGGUUAAUAUUCCCGUACUUGGUGUUACUGCGAAGGGGGGACGGAGAAGGCUAUGUUGGCCGGGCGACGGUUGUCCCGGUUUAAGCGUGUAGGUGUGUGUUCCAGGUAAAUCCGGUUCACUUUAACACUGAGGCGUGACGACGAGGCACUACGGUGCUGAAGCAACAAAUGCCCUGCUUCCAGGAAAAGCCUCUAAGCAUCAGGUAACAUCAAAUCGUACCCCAAACCGACACAGGUGGUCAGGUAGAGAAUACCAAGGCGCUUGAGAGAACUCGGGUGAAGGAACUAGGCAAAAUGGUGCCGUAACUUCGGGAGAAGGCACGCUGACACGUAGGUGAAGUGAUUUACUCACGGAGCUGAAGUCAGUCGAAGAUACCAGCUGGCUGCAACUGUUUAUUAAAAACACAGCACUGUGCAAACACGAAAGUGGACGUAUACGGUGUGACGCCUGCCCGGUGCCGGAAGGUUAAUUGAUGGGGUCAGCGCAAGCGAAGCUCCUGAUCGAAGCCCCGGUAAACGGCGGCCGUAACUAUAACGGUCCUAAGGUAGCGAAAUUCCUUGUCGGGUAAGUUCCGACCUGCACGAAUGGCGUAAUGAUGGCCAGGCUGUCUCCACCCGAGACUCAGUGAAAUUGAACUCGCUGUGAAGAUGCAGUGUACCCGCGGCAAGACGGAAAGACCCCGUGAACCUUUACUAUAGCUUGACACUGAACAUUGAGCCUUGAUGUGUAGGAUAGGUGGGAGGCUUUGAAGUGUGGACGCCAGUCUGCAUGGAGCCGACCUUGAAAUACCACCCUUUAAUGUUUGAUGUUCUAACGUGGACCCGUUA
Molecule: ribosomal RNA, 2214 nt
Filed under: Salmonella enterica subsp. enterica serovar Kottbus
Lineage: Bacteria; Pseudomonadati; Pseudomonadota; Gammaproteobacteria; Enterobacterales; Enterobacteriaceae
Description: partial 23S ribosomal RNA
Rfam family: Bacterial large subunit ribosomal RNA
Source: RNAcentral